RNAcentral lists this transfer RNA (66 nucleotides) under Loxodonta africana (African savanna elephant). It matches the Rfam family "tRNA". Rfam says of the family: Transfer RNA (tRNA) molecules are approximately 80 nucleotides in length. Their secondary structure includes four short double-helical elements and three loops (D, anti-codon, and T loops). The record is from Rfam by way of RNAcentral. Lineage: Eukaryota; Metazoa; Chordata; Mammalia; Proboscidea; Elephantidae.
GGUGGCAUAGUAGAGUGGCUAAGACUCUAGGGCCAGAGAGCCUGGGUUCAAAUCCCAGCACUACCA